This is an RNA transcript of Carya illinoinensis, 2169 nucleotides long. It is a transcript of the gene named cyclin-C1-2-like, with no coding region annotated. The record is from RefSeq and is a predicted model, not a curated record. The transcript is spliced from 9 exons. NCBI's taxonomy places the organism in Eukaryota, Viridiplantae, Streptophyta, Magnoliopsida, Fagales, Juglandaceae.
CCCCUUAAAAAGGAAAUCUCUUCAUUAUCCAAAACCAGCCUAACUCCGUAUUUGGGCUACUCAAGGCAAAGUUUUUCUGGGCACUUGAGUCGGCCUGAUUUAUGUGGAUUCGGGGACCAAGAAAUGGGCCGAAACGAGUUUUCCUUUCCUUCCAAGAAUCCGACCUCCACUUGCCUCGAGGCUAAGAUUUUUCCUUCUACUCUGUACCGUGAAAAACUGAAUCUUGAACGAUCGAAGCAACUUUUGACAGUUGCAUAAGAGCACUCUCAGAAUCUUCCUGGUCUCUGAUACGAAAAAUGGCUGCCAAUUUCUGGACAUCCUCUCACCAAAAACAGCUAUUGGAACAGGAAGACGUGGAUGUGGUGCAACCACUUGACAAAGACAAGGGCAUCACUCUUGAAGAUUUCAAGCUCAUUAAGAUGCAUAUGGCCAAUUAUAUGUUGAAAUUGGCUCAACAUGUAAAAGUGAGGCAAAGGGUGGUUGCUACUGCUGUGGCAUAUAUGAGACGUGUUUACACCAGAAAGAGUAUGACUGAAUAUGAUCCGCACCUCGUGGCUCCAACCUGCUUGUACCUGGCAUCGAAAGCAGAAGAAAGCACAGUGCAGGCCAGGCUUCUUGUAUAUUACCUCAAGAAAUUAUAUUCUGAUGAAAAGUAUAGGUACGAUAGGUAUGAGAUCAAAGACAUCCUUGAAAUGGAAAUGAAGAUUUUAGAAGCACUCAACUAUUAUUUAGUUGUGUUCCAUCCUUACCGAGCAUUGUCUCAGUUGCUUCAUGAUGCAGGUCUGAAUGAUAUAAGUAUGACUCAAGUAACUUGGGGACUUGUGAAUGACACCUACAAGAUGGACCUUGUUCUCAUACAUGCUCCACAUCUGAUUGCUUUAGCUUGCAUUUACAUUGCUAGCGUACUCAGGGAAAGAGAUACCACUGCAUGGUUCGAAGAGCUUCGUGUUGAUAUGCAUGCGGUACAUUUUCCCAGCUAAGUCUUAUUUUUGUCAUGGUUUGUCUGUUACCUCUCAUUCCAAUUAAAUCUAAAGUAAAACAAUGAACUGGCAGCCUCUUUUGGAUGCCUCAUCAUUACUCGCUGUGCAGUGUGCAAGUCAUUUAAAAUCAGUCGUUGAAAAAAACCAAUCAUGGUAUCAGGUCCUGUCUUCAGCAUCCAAUUUUCAAUGUUAGAUUGUCUAGUUGCCUAGAGAAAAACUGAUGGAAACUGGGAAAGGAUGUGAAAAAUUGGAGCACAUUCUAGUUAAAAUUUUAACAAUACAUGAUCAUAUUUCAGGUGAUAUGUCUUAAUGGCCGGCCAAUAAUUUUAACUUCUAGUUGAUUUGCCUUGAAUUCAGAGACUGAAUUGCUUGUCUUGGAGCAUUUCCAGUGGUCUGUACCUUUUUUAAGCUCUAAAAUUCAUUAUUAUGCCUUUUUUAUGGAUUAGAAGAGUAUCAUGGUUAAAUGUCAAAAUACCUUGUAAGAUAUCGUUUUUAGAAUUAUUUUUAGUUUUAUUUUUCUCUUAUUUCCUCGGCUAUAUGGUGAAAAUGCAAAUACUGAGAGUAGAAAUUGAAUGUAGUUUUGGUUAGGUUUGAGUUUAGAGGAGUAAAGUACCUAUCUAGGAUUUCAGAAUCUCUAGAUCUUCUACUAGAAUUCAUCCAGUACAAGUGACAAAUAGAUGAUAGUGGCAUGAAAAUGGUCUGUUACUCCACUGCUAAGUCCUGUGCCUCAUGAGCACUACUCUUCACCAUGUGACUUGCAGGUAAAAAAUAUCUCUAUGGAGAUACUAGAUUUCUAUGAAAACCACAGAAUGAUCACAGGAGAUAGAAUCAUUGCCGCUCUCAGCAAGCUAAAUUUGAAGCCCUAAAUAGUUUGGUAACUCUGCUUCCUGCAGGAAAAUAAUGCUGUUUUAUCUUUGUUAUGACCUAGGUCAAGUUUCCGGUCUAUCUCAAAAGAAGUAGAUGAUCCUAUUCUUUGUGAUAUUGGAAAGCUAUCAACUUGUUUUUUAGCCAAGUGAAGGGGGAAGGAGUUGGAUUACAUUUUGUAGAGGAGACGUGCUCCAUUAGAUCUCCACGGUGUUUGUAUGAGAUGAUUAAUGUAACGUGAAAAAGCUAGUUUAUGAUUAUCAAUCAGUCUAGCUCUAUGCAGACAGGUACUUGAUUUUAUGGGAAUUGGUUUCGUUUAAAGUUA